CAGAAAAAAGCCACAGAGGUAGAUGCAGAGAGACAGACUGACACAUUCAAACAGGAACAGGAGCAGAGAGUGAAACACGACCGCGAAACAAACGUGUCGGAAAGCAAAGAUAGAAACAGGCGGAGAACAAAAGACGCAGCUGCUACCUGGAGCCGGCGAUGCGGACGUAACGCUCGUCAGCGGUUGGACCUCUCCCAGCCCAAAAGGAACCUUGAGAGAUGAAACAAUACAUUGAAUUAUCGUACUGUGAAAUGUCAAAGGAGUUUUCACCUCCCUGUUCUUGCUCUUUCAACCACACCGUCUAAAGUCACAUGUCUCCUCUCCAACUCCGCUGUUAUCAUGAAAUCCAUAACACACAACAAACACACGGCUUCAACCUCAGCAUCCAAUCUUCUUGCUGCAUGUAGGACAGGAGUCAUGCUGCUAUACCGACCGCUGGCUGGCUAUUACAGCAUUUUAAUGUUCCUGUUGGUGGUGUAAACGGGAAAAAUAAAAUGCUAUUGGAGGAGUUCCCCAGAGCAUAGCGACCCUCAGAACAGAGUCCUCCAAACUGUUUGGUGCGACUGCACCUAUUAAAAAGCAUAUUAUGAAAGGCAAUGAGCUGCUAUCGGGACCAAUAGAGUGGGAGAGGCUAAUGGUGUGCAGGUGUUCGCCCCUAUUCUCUUCACAUGUAGGACACCAUAACAACCUGAGAGGGUUACAUUACGGCAGCAGAAUUCCAUUAUUUAAUAUAAAUAAAUAAAUGAAAUCUGUGAAAUCA
Long non-coding RNA from Acanthochromis polyacanthus (spiny chromis), 760 nucleotides. RefSeq lists it as uncharacterized. The transcript has 3 exons. The record is from RefSeq and is a predicted model, not a curated record. NCBI's taxonomy places the organism in Eukaryota, Metazoa, Chordata, Actinopteri, Pomacentridae.